This 784-nucleotide ribosomal RNA is filed under the name uncultured bacterium. RNAcentral describes it as "SSU rRNA". It matches the Rfam family "Bacterial small subunit ribosomal RNA", at positions 70 to 853 of the family's 1533-position model. The record is from RNAcentral.
CACAGUGUAGCAAUACAUGGGUGGCGACCGGCAAACGGGUGCGGAACACGUACGCAACCUUCCUUCAGGCGGGGAAUAGCCCAGAGAAAUUUGGAUUAAUACCCCAUAAUAUUUUGAGAUGGCAUCAUCUUAUUAUUAAGGCUACGGCACCUGGAGAUGGGCGUGCGGCUGAUUAGGUAGUUGGCGGGGUAAUGGCCCACCAAGCCUACGAUCAGUAGCUGAUGUGAGAGCAUGAUCAGCCACACGGGCACUGAGACACGGGCCCGACUCCUACGGGAGGCAGCAGUAAGGAAUAUUGGUCAAUGGACGCAAGUCUGAACCAGCCAUGCCGCGUGGAGGAUGAAGGUCCUCUGGAUUGUAAACUUCUUUUAUCUGGGACGAAAAAAGGGUUUUCUAACUCGUCUGACGGUACCAGAUGAAUAAGCACCGGCUAACUCCGCGCCAGCAGCCGCGGUAAUACGGAGGGUGCAAGCGUUAUCCGGAUUCACUGGGUUUAAAGGGUGCGUAGGCGGGCAUUUAAGUCAGUGGUGAAAUACCUGAGCUUAACUUGGGAACUGCCAUUGAUACUAUUUGUCUUGAAUGUCGUGGAGGUUAGCGGAAUAUGUCAUGUAGCGGUGAAAUGCUUAGAUAUGACAUAGAACACCUAUUGCGAAGGCAGCUAACUACGCGAAUAUUGACGCUGAGGCACGAAAGCGUGGGGAUCAAACAGGAUUAGAUACCCUGGUAGUCCACGCCCUAAACGAUGAUUACUCGACAUUAGCGAUACACUGUUAGUGUCUGAGCG